RNAcentral lists this ribosomal RNA (292 nucleotides) under uncultured bacterium. RNAcentral's name for it is "partial 16S ribosomal RNA". It matches the Rfam family "Bacterial small subunit ribosomal RNA", at positions 505 to 796 of the family's 1533-position model. The record is from RNAcentral.
GUGCCAGCAGCCGCGGUAAUACAGAGACUGCAAGCGUUAUUCGGAUUCACUGGGCGUAAAGGGUGCGCAGGCGGUUAUGUGUGUUAGAUGUGAAAGCCCGAGGCUCAACCUCGGAAUUGCGUCUAAAACUACAUGACUAGAGUACCGGAGAGGAUAGCGGAAUUCACGGUGUAGCAGUGAAAUGCGUAGAUAUCGUGAAGAACACCAGCGGCGAAGGCGGCUAUCUGGAAGGUUACUGACGCUCAGGCACGAAAGCGUGGGGAGCAAAAGGGAUUAGAAACCCGCGUAGUCC